GCCCCCAUAGCUCAAUGGAUAGAGCACACGGUUUCUACCCGUACGAUGUGGGUUCGAUUCCUACUGGGGGCG
Molecule: transfer RNA, 72 nt
Filed under: bacterium
Lineage: Bacteria
Description: tRNA-Arg
Rfam family: tRNA
About the family: Transfer RNA (tRNA) molecules are approximately 80 nucleotides in length. Their secondary structure includes four short double-helical elements and three loops (D, anti-codon, and T loops).
Source: RNAcentral